GAGAACCAUAACAUGCCCGAUGAACCAAGUUCUCCGACAGGGUACGGGCGGGGGAGUAGCUACGUGGAGGAACCUGGGAAUGACUACAUGGAUGAUGCUGACUACGAGAGUCCUUCAGAUUUUGGAGCCCCCGCUGAAUAACAUGAAGAUGUUGUGAAAUAAAAGACGACUCUGUCAGUGGUCCGCAACCCGUCAGAACCAACGGAAGCAUGGAUAUUGUGAAAUAUAAACAAUAAAUGUUUAUGAUAAUGGAACUUUACUUGUUUUUCAAUUUUGAACACUGAUAGACUGAUAAUAGAUUUACCAAUGUAUCUCUAGAUAGAUUGAUGAAGAAUACUGUUUUCAGAGACAAUAGAAAAAAAUAAAACAAGCAAAUAAUAAAAGAAUAUAUAUGAAA
Long non-coding RNA from Penaeus chinensis, 397 nucleotides. RefSeq lists it as uncharacterized. The transcript has 2 exons. Lineage: Eukaryota; Metazoa; Arthropoda; Malacostraca; Decapoda; Penaeidae. The record is from RefSeq and is a predicted model, not a curated record.